This 586-nucleotide long non-coding RNA is filed under the name Monodelphis domestica (gray short-tailed opossum). RNAcentral describes it as "lncRNA (ENSMODG00000040869.1)". Lineage: Eukaryota; Metazoa; Chordata; Mammalia; Didelphimorphia; Didelphidae. The record is from RNAcentral.
GAUCUUAGACUGCUUCUAGUAAGACUGCUCCUGGAUCUUCUUACUUUGGUGCUUCAUCUUGGGUAUACAAGAAUAUGAAAUUCCUAUUUUGAUCUCUGAGUGGAUUUUUAAGUCAUGGAUCACAAUUCUUCUUGGUUCGGCAUCACUUCUACCUGCCAGGGGAUGUAAGAUGGCUUUGCUCUUCCUGUGAGUACUGAAUGGAUGGCUAUCCAACUUUCAUCUUUUGAUCAGGUCCAUCAAAACUGAAACUGACACCUGUGCUCCCGCCAGUACUGAUUUAUCACCAAACCCUUAAGUUUGCUCUCAGUAUGAAUUCAGCUCAAUUUAUCUGACACACUGGGCAUGAUCUGUCAUAGUUCCACCUCUCUCUUGCCUCCCUGUUGUGAAUGUGAAGCACCUGAUUAGAAAUUUCAUAUUCUCAGUUUCCCUUUUUCCCAGUUUUAUAAGUGGGAGAUAGAAGGAGGAAUGACAAAGAAAAGUGAUAACUUCAGAAUAGUACUUUCCCCUUUUUAAUAAGACCAUUCUUAAAAAUUUAGAGCUGAAAGGGUCCUUAAAACAUAUACCACAGAAUGUCAGAAGGCUCUGG